This is a long non-coding RNA of Amphimedon queenslandica, 491 nucleotides long. RefSeq lists it as uncharacterized. The record is from RefSeq and is a predicted model, not a curated record. Lineage: Eukaryota; Metazoa; Porifera; Demospongiae; Haplosclerida; Niphatidae. The transcript has 2 exons.
CAACCAACAAUAUUAUAAAUAAAUAACACAAUACACCUGUAUAUUAUAUUCCGCCAAUAUUAGCAGGUGUACAUGUACAUGUAUAUGUAUAGGAUAGGAGCAGUUAGUGUGUGGUUAGUGUCUAAUCAUUGGGUUACUAUAUUACACUAGGUCUAUAUGUUAAUGCUGGGGAAUAGAAUUUAGUUCAACUGGAGCAUAAAGCAUGAGUCUAAAGAUAUUUAAAGAGCUAAAGGAGAGUGGAUAUGGACCAGUGACAGUAUUCUAUUGUGGGUCACCAGUACUGGCUAGAGUAUUAUCAGUGAAGUCUCAAUAUUAUGGAUUUAAAUUUAGAAAAGAAAACUUUUAGACAUUAACAAUAAUAAUGUACUACAUGUAUAUACACUGAUGGACACUCUAAUUAUAAUACUGAUGUGUUGUUAAGUAAUAGUCAUUGUGUAUGGAAUGAUCCAAUUCAGUGAGUACAAUAACAUUAUUCAUGAUUAUUGAUGAUG